GAUGUACCUGUGUCAGCCAGUUCAUUGCAAGAAUGGGUUCUUGUUGAUGGUGCUUCAAAGCAAAGUAAUAUCUACUUAUUCUCAUUAUCUUUGCAGGGAAAUGAUCCUUCUUGCAUGCGUUAGUUCCUCCUACCAACUCUAAACAUGAAUUCAUCACAUGGAAAUAUUGGGCUGCAAAUGCUAGAUAGGAACUGGGGUGCAGGAUGGCAUCUGCUAUCAGUGCUUCUUGCAGCUAACCUGUUGAUAGAAUAAGAUGUUUAAGACAUCAAUUCUAUGUGGGCCAAGAUGACGUGUCAAUCCAUCAAUGGAUAUCAUCAUACGGAGUCAUUCAAUUGAGUGUAUUUACUAGAAGUGUUGAUAGGUACAUGUGUUUGCUUAAUUCCUUUUUACUUUUUUCUUUUUCAAACAAAGUUCCGUUCACCUAUCUGGUUUAUUAAACCAUUAUGAUUGACAA
Lactuca sativa (garden lettuce) is the source of this 454-nucleotide non-coding RNA. The record is from RefSeq and is a predicted model, not a curated record. Lineage: Eukaryota; Viridiplantae; Streptophyta; Magnoliopsida; Asterales; Asteraceae.